GGGCAUCGGUGACAGGUGGUGCAUGGUUGUCGUCAGCUCGUGUCGUGAGAUGUUGGGUUAAGUCCCGCAACGAGCGCAACCCUUGUUAUUAGUUUCCAUCAUUUAGUUGGGCACUCUAGGGUGACUGCCGGUGAUAAACCGGAGGAAGGUGGGGAUGACGUCAAAUCAUCAUGCCCCUUAUGACCUGGGCUACACACGUGCUACAAUGGUUGAUACAAACGGUCGCGAAUUCGCGAGAGCGAGCUAAUCUUAUAAAGCCAUUCUCAGUUCGGAUUGUAGGCUGCAACUCGCCUACAUGAAGUCGGAAUCGCUAGUAAUCGCGGAUCAGCAUGCCGCGGUGAAUACGUUCCCGGGCCUUG
Molecule: ribosomal RNA, 359 nt
Filed under: Lysinibacillus fusiformis
Lineage: Bacteria; Bacillati; Bacillota; Bacilli; Caryophanales; Bacillaceae
Description: bacterial SSU rRNA
Rfam family: Bacterial small subunit ribosomal RNA
Source: RNAcentral